AAGUCGUAACAAGGUCUCCGUUGGUGAACCAGCGGAGGGAUCAUUACAGAGUUAUACAACUCCCAUACCAUUUGUAAACUUUACUCAGUUAUGCCUCGGCGUGAACUGCGUACGGAGGCAGAGUGGUGUUACCCGGUAGCUUACCCUGUAGGUUACCCUGUAGCGCUACCCUGUAUCAACUCCCGCGCAGCCCGCCGGUGGUACACUAAACUCUUGUUUUAUUUUAUAUUCUGAGCGUAUUAUUUUAAUAAUUAAAACUUUCAACAACGGAUCUCUUGGUUCUG
This 284-nucleotide unclassified non-coding RNA is filed under the name Apiospora serenensis. RNAcentral's name for it is "Arthrinium serenense partial internal transcribed spacer region". The stretch from base 1 to 46 matches the Rfam family "Eukaryotic small subunit ribosomal RNA", at positions 1786 to 1831 of the family's 1831-position model. Lineage: Eukaryota; Fungi; Ascomycota; Sordariomycetes; Amphisphaeriales; Apiosporaceae. The record is from RNAcentral.